RNAcentral lists this ribosomal RNA (586 nucleotides) under uncultured bacterium. RNAcentral describes it as "partial 16S ribosomal RNA". It matches the Rfam family "Bacterial small subunit ribosomal RNA", at positions 355 to 1375 of the family's 1533-position model. The record is from RNAcentral.
UGGGGAAUUUUGGACAAUGGGCGCAAGCCUGAUCCAGCAAUGCCGCGUGCAGGAAGAAGGCCUUCGGGUUGUAAACUGCUUUUGUCAGGGAAGAAAUCCUUUGGGUUAAUACCUCGAAGGGAUGACGGUACCUGAGGAAUAAGCACCGGCUAACUACGUGCCAGCAGCCGCGGUAAUACGUAGGGUGCGAGCGUUAAUCGGAAUUACUGGGCGUAAAGCGUGCGCAGGCGGCUUUGCAAGACAGAGGUGAAAUCCCCGGGCCCAACCUGGGAACUGCCUUUGUGACUGCAAGGCUAGAGUACGGCAGAGGGGGAUGGAAUUCCGCGUGUAGCAGUGAAAUGCGUAGAUAUGCGGAGGAAGCACCGAUGGCGAAGGCAAUCCCCUGGGCCUGUACUGACGCUCAUGCACGAAAGCGUGGGGAGCAAACAGGAUUAGAUACCCUGGUAGUCCACGCCCUAAACGAUGUCAACUGGUUGUUGGACGGCUUGCUGUUCAGUAACGAAGCUAACGCGUGAAGUUGACCGCCUGGGGAGUACGGCCGCAAGGUUGAAACUUAAAUGAAUUGACGGGGUCAUAGCUGUUUCCU